Molecule: ribosomal RNA, 375 nt
Filed under: uncultured bacterium
Lineage: Bacteria
Description: bacterial SSU rRNA
Rfam family: Bacterial small subunit ribosomal RNA
Source: RNAcentral
GACGAACCGUGCGAACGUUGUUCGGAAUCACUGGGCAUAAAGGGCGCGUAGGCGGGCCGUAAAGUCAGGGGUGAAAUCCUCCAGCUCAACUGGAGAACUGCCUUUGAUACUGACGGCCUCGAGUGGGGUAGGGGCGUGCGGAACUGAUGGUGGAGCGGUGAAAUGUGUUGAUAUCAUCAGGAACUCCGGUGGCGAAAGCGGCACGCUGGACCUUUACUGACGCUGAGGCGCGAAAGCCAGGGGAGCAAACGGGAUUAGAUACCCCGGUAGUCCUGGCCCUAAACGAUGGGUACUAGGUAGUAGACUUGACAUGAGUUUACUGCCGGAGCAAAUGUGUUAAGUACCCCGCCUGGGGAGUAUGGUCGCAAGGCUGAA